RNAcentral lists this non-coding RNA (115 nucleotides) under Paraoerskovia marina. RNAcentral describes it as "SAM-IV sequence". It matches the Rfam family "SAM (S-adenosyl methionine) riboswitch aptamer". Rfam says of the family: SAM-IV is a mRNA element that regulates gene expression via direct sensing of S-adenosylmethionine (SAM or AdoMet). SAM-IV riboswitches share conserved nucleotide positions with the previously described SAM-I riboswitches sequence analysis and molecular recognition experiments suggest that SAM-I and SAM-IV riboswitches share similar ligand binding sites, but have different scaffolds. The record is from Rfam by way of RNAcentral. Lineage: Bacteria; Bacillati; Actinomycetota; Actinomycetes; Micrococcales; Cellulomonadaceae.
GGUCAUGAGGCCCCGUGGUAUCGCCCUCCGGCGUGCGGGACCGGCAACCGCGCCAGUGCGCACGGUGCUCCCGGAGGAAGACCCGCCCCCGCCGCCGGUGGGGGAAGCGCACCAC